CAAACGGGUGAGUAACGCGUGGGUGACCUGCCUUCGAGUGGGGGAUAACGUUUCGAAAGGAACGCUAAUACCGCAUAACAUACCGCUUUUUAAGAAGUGGCUAUCAAAGCUUGGGACCGCAAGGCCAGGCGCUUGUAGAGGGGCCCGCGUCCGAUUAGCUAGUUGGUGGGGUAAUGGCUCACCAAGGCUACGAUCGGUAACCGGCCUGAGAGGGCGGACGGUCACGCUGGGACUGAGACACGGCCCAG
Molecule: ribosomal RNA, 248 nt
Filed under: uncultured bacterium
Lineage: Bacteria
Description: partial 16S ribosomal RNA
Rfam family: Bacterial small subunit ribosomal RNA
Source: RNAcentral